GGUCAUUUAGCUCAGUUGGUUAGAGCACACCGUUCACAUCGGUGAGGCCACAGGUUCGAAUCCUGUAAUGACCA
RNAcentral lists this transfer RNA (74 nucleotides) under bacterium CG10_37_50. RNAcentral describes it as "tRNA-Val". It matches the Rfam family "tRNA". Rfam says of the family: Transfer RNA (tRNA) molecules are approximately 80 nucleotides in length. The record is from RNAcentral.